This is a long non-coding RNA of Octodon degus (degu), 238 nucleotides long. RefSeq lists it as uncharacterized. The transcript has 4 exons. The record is from RefSeq and is a predicted model, not a curated record. NCBI's taxonomy places the organism in Eukaryota, Metazoa, Chordata, Mammalia, Rodentia, Octodontidae.
CGCAGACCUAGAUCCUUCUGUGGCGGUUGCUCCUAGAGGCUGCAGGGGGGCGGGAGCCGGAGCCGAGCGCUCAGAUCAUUUUCAAUACAACGAGAGACUGCAGACUGCCUUUGAAAUGGACCCAAGGGGGAAUCAAGGAUGUGAAGCAGCCACUGAAGAGACCAAGAUGAAUGCAGAGAUACUGCCACUAUAGUGACAUUUUACCAUGUGUCCAAGAAGACAGAGCAUGGCCAUGAGG